AUUGAACGCUGGCGGCAUGCCUUACACAUGCAAGUCGAACGGCAGCGGACCUUCGGGUGCCGGCGAGUGGCGAACGGGUGAGUAAUAUAUCGGAACGUACCUUUCAGUGGGGGAUAACGUAGCGAAAGUUACGCUAAUACCGCAUAUUCUGUGAGCAGGAAAGCAGGGGAUCGCAAGACCUUGCGCUGAUUGAGCGGCCGAUAUCAGAUUAGCUAGUUGGUGAGGUAAAGGCUCACCAAGGCGACGAUCUGUAGCGGGUCUGAGAGGAUGAUCCGCCACACUGGAACUGAGACACGGUCCAGACUCCUACGGGAGGCAGCAGUGGGGAAUUUUGGACAAUGGGCGCAAGCCUGAUCCAGCCAUGCCGCGUGAGUGAAGAAGGCCUCGGUUGU
RNAcentral lists this ribosomal RNA (392 nucleotides) under uncultured bacterium. Its description in RNAcentral is "bacterial SSU rRNA". It matches the Rfam family "Bacterial small subunit ribosomal RNA", at positions 30 to 426 of the family's 1533-position model. The record is from RNAcentral.